This 591-nucleotide ribosomal RNA is filed under the name Streptomyces argenteolus. Its description in RNAcentral is "bacterial SSU rRNA". It matches the Rfam family "Bacterial small subunit ribosomal RNA", at positions 88 to 693 of the family's 1533-position model. Lineage: Bacteria; Bacillati; Actinomycetota; Actinomycetes; Kitasatosporales; Streptomycetaceae. The record is from RNAcentral.
UGGAUUAGUGGCGAACGGGUGAGUAACACGUGGGCAAUCUGCCCUUCACUCUGGGACGAGCCCUGGAAACGGGGUCUAAUACCGGAUAACACUCUGUCCCGCAGGGGACGGGGUUAAAAGCUCCCGCGGUGAAGGAUGAGCCCGCGGCCUAUCAUCUUGUUGGUGGGGUGAUGGCGUACCAAGGCGACAACGGGUAGCCGGCCUGAGAGGGCGACCGGCCACACUGGGACUGAGACACGGCCCACACUCCUACAGGAGGCAGCAGUGGGGAAUAUUGCACAAUGGGCGAAAGCCUGAUGCCGCGACGCCGCGUGAGGGAUGACGGCCUUCGGGUUGUAAACCUCUUUCAGCAGGGAAGAAGCGAAAGUGACGGUACCUGCAGAAGAAGCGCCGGCUAACUACGUGCCAGCAGCCGCGGUAAUACGUAGGGCGCAAGCGUUGUCCGGAAUUAUUGGGCGUAAAGAGCUCGUAGGCGGCUUGUCACGUCGGAUGUGAAAGCCCGGGGCUUAACCCCGGGUCUGCAUUCGAUACGGGCUAGCUAGAGUGUGGUAGGGGAGAUCGGAAUUCCUGGUGUAGCGGUGAAAUGCGCAG